CGGAAAUGGCCUUGGCCAGUAGGUGGAAAAUUUUGAAUAAAGAGUUAGGGAAAUGGAGAUGCGUUGGCAAAAGUGAGGGACAACAUUCGAAGUAGUCAAAAUCUUGCCGACGAGGUUAAAUAUUGAUAAAUGUCGUUUUAUUCAAUUUAUUGUCACUUUUUUUUUUCUUGCAUAUUCAUUUUUUAUAUUUUCUUGCAUUUCCAAUUUUUUUUAUAUUUUCUUGCAUUUCCAAUUAUUUUUUA
This 242-nucleotide long non-coding RNA is filed under the name Prunus persica (peach). Its description in RNAcentral is "long non-coding RNA (PPER_LNC004489)". Lineage: Eukaryota; Viridiplantae; Streptophyta; Magnoliopsida; Rosales; Rosaceae. The record is from RNAcentral.